Long non-coding RNA from Gorilla gorilla gorilla (western lowland gorilla), 565 nucleotides. RefSeq lists it as uncharacterized. Lineage: Eukaryota; Metazoa; Chordata; Mammalia; Primates; Hominidae. The transcript has 3 exons. The record is from RefSeq and is a predicted model, not a curated record.
GCCUGCCCCCACCUUGCCUCCUCACAGAGCCUGCGCCUGCUUCCCUCCGUGGAUCUCGAGUUGCUGGUCAGACCAAUGCGCAAGUCAGGGAUGUCACAUCCGGGCCACUUGGAUUGACAGCAGGGGCGGAACCGGAUUCGGCCAGGAGUUGAUUUGGGAACCAGAGAACAGCAGCCUAAGUUUGACUGUAAUUUUGGCAGCUACAGAUUCCCAAGACUACUAGGAAGGGAAAAGGAACCCUUCAAGGAAGUUCCAGGAAAAACGUCUCUCCCAAAAAGACCACCGCUUCAGGAAAACCUGAGGAAGGGAGUGGGCCAACAGUAUCCUGCCAUUGUGACCAGCUGAACGAGGAACUCCAUCAAAAUGAGCCACAGCUGGACCAAAGCAGUGAGGAGACCUCCACCUUCUUCAGUGUCUCCCUGAGCAGUCAGUAAUUUCAGGGCAAGCUGAGAGGUCUCCAGAGGUCUAACCCCAGAUAAAUAGCCAACAGGGUCUAGAGUACAUUUUAUACCCAACAGGGUAUACCCCAUGGUGAUCAAAAUAAAAUAAACCUGUUGUAAAAUGA